This 253-nucleotide ribosomal RNA is filed under the name uncultured bacterium. RNAcentral describes it as "partial 16S ribosomal RNA". It matches the Rfam family "Bacterial small subunit ribosomal RNA", at positions 524 to 776 of the family's 1533-position model. The record is from RNAcentral.
UACAGAGGUCCCGAGCGUUGUUCGGAUUCACUGGGCGUAAAGGGUGCGUAGGUGGCAUGUUAAGUUUGAUGUGAAAGCUCAGGGCUUAACCCUGAAAUGGCAUUGAAUACUAGCGUGCUGGAGGUUUGGAGGGGGGACUGGAAUUCUCGGUGUAGCAGUGAAAUGCGUAGAUAUCGAGAGGAACACCAGUGGCGAAGGCGGCGUUCUGGACUGCAACUGACACUGAGGAACGAAAGCCAGGGGAGCAAACGGG